Molecule: long non-coding RNA, 3829 nt
Organism: Cyprinus carpio carpio
Lineage: Eukaryota; Metazoa; Chordata; Actinopteri; Cypriniformes; Cyprinidae
Source: Ensembl
GUGAACUUUAAUAAAUUAAGAGAAGUGAAAGACAUAGAAGCUCCAUGAUGAUGAAAGUUCAAAUUUCCGUGGAAACCAGAUGCACAGAUUACCGUCAGCCUACCAUGGAUCAAAGUUAUGUAAACAUCUAGUAGAGACAGACUUCACACGCAAUAAAAUAACACAGAGUGCAAAGUGAGUUUUUUCUUUAUUAUAUAUCUUUUUAACAGUGCAGCUAUUAAGACUUACAAAAUCAAUUUGGCACAUAUCAAACUAUCAUAUUUCAUCCCUUCCUCUGAUCUGUUCUUUGUUCCAGACACUAAAUACACAAUGGCUGAGUUAUUCCCUUGGCUUUACAAUAAUGUGCUUCUGUGCCACAAUCCUUGAUUUGGCAUUUAUUCCACACACACACACAAAACAAAAAGGCAUUAAUUCAUAAAACAAUUCUUUGAAUGUUCCUGAACCGUUCCCACAAACAUAAAAAAGGCAAUUACUGCAGCCAACUCAUCAGCUGCAGAUGAAACACUGGACAUGACAGAUUAGACAAAACAUUUCCAUGUAUUGCACUAUGAAUCCCUUAUAAUGACAUUCGUUGAACGAAGGUUGAGGGCUAUGUUAAUACUAAGGCUUCAGCCCCAUGUGCCAAGAAUUACGUGGAAGCUAAAUCUGCAUAGAAACAAUAGAUACACAUCAUACCAACUGGCUCGAGCACCAUCUCGUAUCUAGAAGUCGUACAGGGAUCGAGCGUUUGAAUGCUACCAAGGGGUCUCAAAGCAAAGUCAAUCUGCUACCAACCUUUGAAAAUGGAAAUAUACAGAAAUGUAAACCACACAAUCCCGGUCAGACCCCCGAAUCGGAGUACAUUCCAUUGAUGAGAUAGUCGACCUGAGUGUAGUCCUUCCGCUUGUAACUCUCGUAUGCUUGUUUGAGAAACAGCGCCACCGUGACCACGAAGAAGAGGAGGCCAAACAGAAGAACGGCCAACAAGGAGCUUGUGUUCAACAGGUGGCUGGUCAAAGGGUCUCCGGCCACCUCAAUCAUGGGUUGGUCCCCUUUGGGAAUGUCCUUAGCCAGUGCAGACACCACUACUGAGGGGCUCAAUGAGGUUUUUGGCAUGGUCUGUGAUGGCUUGUUCUCUUCUGAUGAUGCUGCAGAAGUUUGGAUCGGUUUUAUGGAAGGAGUGAAUGAAGGUGUUGUAGGCACUGAUGGUGAGAUGCUGGCAGACAUAUUGGUCCCUGAUGGUGAUUGUGAAGGCGGUUGUUUUGGAAUUAUGGUUUGUGCAACUGUUGUGGUUGUGCUGGUAGUUGUUGGAAAGGGUUUAGGGCUGGUUAUGGUUGGUUUAGGUGUAGUUGUGGUGGUGGAUGUCUCGGCUGGUGUUGUCAGAGUGGUUGUGGUGAUCGCUGGUUUUGUGGAGGCUUUCUUUGUUGGGGAUGUCUGCAGGUUGGUGGUCAAUAUAGUCGUUAAGUUGAUUUGUAAAGUGGCCGGAUCUGUGGUAGUGGAAGUCCUGGAGAUCGAGACGUUAGGUUCAGUUGCCAAAUGCUGUGUUACAUUAGGUGAAGAGUCGUUGAAAUUUGUGAAAUUUUCACAAGAAAAAUUCUGGGUAUUAUUCGGGCAGCUGAUCAGAAAACACAGAGAUUGUGUUGUAUUAACAACAGCCUUCCAACAGACUUCAUCUUUAGGACCUGAAAAAUGAAAAACAAAGGAAUCAACAGGAUGUUCUCUUCAAAAAAAAAAAAAAAAAAAAAUUCUAAUAUUGUUACUUGAAAUAAACCUUGUUUGUAGUGAAUUUCGAUGGACUUCAAAACCACAUAAGAUUGUUGAAUAGACACAGGUGCUAAUGAAUCAGAAUUGUGAUAGUUGCAGACCGAAUUAACUGUGCUGAGCUAAAAAGACAACCAUUCAAAUCUGAUUUAAAAAAAAAAAUGAGCAAGUUCUGAAUGAGUCGUUUAAAAAGUAAGUUUAAAUCAAUCUGAAUCCUGACAAAAUAGGGGUUAAAGUUACUGAACAAAACAAAAUUGAAUACAAAUAUUCAAGGUACAAAUAUAUAUUACACCAAUAUUACGUCAAUUUGGACAUACAAUACAAAAAGAUUGAGCCAUCAUCAAAAUUUCCAAUCCAUAAAUCAACACAUUGCAAAACUGGACACUUUGUGCAGCCAUAAACCAAAUUUAAGAGAACAAAUAACCCAAACCCAAGUUUCUAAAGGUUGUUUUUAGAGUGUCAUGGCCAAAUAUAUUUUACAGCUCGCUCUAAAAUAUGAAAUAAAACGAACAGUGCAAUCUGUGACUCGUCAACUUGGGUUGUUUUCAUUGGGACAGAGACGUUCCCUGAAUGCUCAUUACUGGAUGUCAAACUGUAUAUCCUGAGCUCUGCAGUCUUCAGGAACGAGGCACGUCUGGGAGGAAAAACAGGCCUUGCCGCACCUCUCUUUGAUCCCCUACCAGCAGCCAUGUGUGCAUUAGGUACAGCACACCUCAACCUCCACAUCCGUCUCCACUCUUUCCCUUAUUCCCACUUCCCUUGAUUACUUAACCAGGUGGCUGCAGCACGGCAGGACCAAACGGGGCUAUAAAGUAUUUGCUUGUGCUGGCACUGCAGAAUGCUCCAAAAUGCCCCCAUUUCCCUUUUUGGACCUUGCCAAUGGACAAUCAUCCAGUGUUUAAAAGCUCCAGGUGAAUCAAUAAUCAACCUCGGUGAAGUGAAAACCCCCGGUUGAAUCAUCUCUUGGUCAGCGUUGACACACUAAAUCGAGAGGCCAGCUGCAUCGUGUGCAUUUUUUCUCCUUUUAAACACUUCUCCAGCUGUUUAAAGCAGAAAAAGCACAAAACCAAAGGUGAAAGAAGAGCGGUGUGGCAGUAGAGGACCUGGCCUGAUUUUUGCAGUCGCCACAGGUUGCCCUGUAGUACGUUUAGUCUUUGACGUGUCCAAAACACACCGUUCCCUGCAGUGGAAUGUGGAAUGCUUAUGUAUUUAUAGCUUGCCAUCAUUCCAAACAUUUCAGACUUCCAGAUGACGGUGGUGAUUCUGACCUAGCUUUCCAUCUCCGUACAGUUAACGUGAUGGAAACUCAAUACCGACAACAUACGUGCAUGUUAUCAGGCGGGGGCAGGGCCAGUCGCUCUACCCCGAACACAAAACCAGCACGCCUCGGGGUCAUUUCAGCUGUCUGCGUGUUUACAGAGGUGGCGAGGUAGUCAAGUGCAACGUGUGUGGUCAAAGUGAAAGAGGAAAAAAGAAAGCGAUUUAAUUAGAAAAAGAGCAUGUCUUGACGAAGACUGUAGAAGGGUAUGGCCCGCUGAAGCAGAGCCUGGCGCAUAAGCAGAACAGCCAGCCCAGGCUUCCCUUUCAUCUUAAAUGUGAAACACAUGGCCUUCUUUGAAAGUGCACGUCCUUCAAGGGAAAAACGUGAUGUAUAAAAGACAAAACAACAUAUGGCUUUACUUUAAAAAAAAAAUAAAUAAAAAUAAUAUGAUAUUCUGCAGGUACCCUGUUUUAUCUCUGAAGGUAGCACACAGAUUGCAUUUCGUUCUCAAGCCCUCAAAGAAACAUAGAAAAAGAAAAACAGGCUGGUUUAACUCUUAGAAAUAGUGGAAAAUAAUCAAACAAUUAUGUUUGUGCAGGGUUAAACAAUAAGGAUGGCCUGUGUGAGAGCGUUUCAGGCCAGUUGAUGGGACUGUCAAAACAAGCACAUACUUAGUCAUCAUUUACCCAGACUCAUGUCAUUCCAAAACAUGUAUAACACUUUGAACAUCAUAUCAAUGUGUUUUCUUUUUUUUUUUUUUAGUCCAUACAAUUUAAGUCAGUGGUGUCCAAUGUUGUUUGGCUCCUCAAUCUUUUUUUUUUGUAUUCA